Molecule: long non-coding RNA, 1741 nt
Filed under: Phoenix dactylifera (date palm)
Lineage: Eukaryota; Viridiplantae; Streptophyta; Magnoliopsida; Arecales; Arecaceae
Description: long non-coding RNA (PDAC_LNC000981)
Source: RNAcentral
UAUGGUGUAGAACCAGGAAUAUUCCUGUAUCACUCGUUUUAACUGAAAUCGGCACUAGUUUUCGACUUGAUGACAUUAAAUUAAGUUAUAGCUUGAUUCAUCCUCCCUUUCAAGAGAUUAGAUAAGCAUCACUCUCGAACCCUCUUAAAUCAUCAAUAGGAAUAUAAUCCAACUUUAAUAUCCCGUCAGUCCUGCAAUCAUGUGGAAAUCGUAAUAGAAUACUGUGUGGGAAGCCUGAGGGAUUGGCAACUGGAUAGCCACUCCACUGCAGGAAACCUUUACCUUCAUGAGUGAUCAGCAAGCAAUCCCCACAGAAAAUAGUGACAGAAUCUUUAGCCCAUAGUUAUCUCAUGAAACCAGAAACAACUUAACAAAAAGAAGACAUCAAGGAUAGCAUGAAUACUAAGAGAUGGAAUGAUAACUAGAACCGGUGAUAGUGCAAGAGAAUGCAUUUGAUGCAAGUGAUGAGAACAUACAAGCACAAUCUCAAUCUUGGGGGGAUCACCUAUUUCUUAAGAAGAUAAAUGGAAAAAAGGUAGCACUGAAAAAAUCCAAGUGCUCAGGUUUUUAUGAAACAAAUCUUCAGCAUCUUCUUUUGACUGCUGACUCCCUAAUUUUACUACUAUUCAACAACACGCGACCUCACAGCUCCGGUUCCUAACCUAGUUUGAAUAGAAAACUACUUUUCCAUGUUCAAUCAUCAAUUUAAAUAUUAAGAAUCUGAUAACUUGAACUAUGUACAAAGAAAAGUUUAAUCCAAUCUUAUUAUCCCAAGAAAAUCAAAGGAAAAUGACUUGACCUUAAAGCUGCAAUGAUCUUCUUUUUUUCUCUUUAGAGAUCAACAUGGUUAACACACUCAAAAUUCAGGAAAUAUGCAAAAAAUUCUGUGCAAGAUAGCUCGGCAUUUUGGGAAAACUUUAUGUGAUUUGAUGUUUGCAUAAUUAAAAAUCGAGAACUGAUGGAUAGAAGCUUAUGCUGAAAAUAGAAGGCAAUUAUUUGAAAACAUGAGCAUAUACUAAUAAGCGAAUUAUUCAGGAAAAAAACUCAUGAAUUAAUUGAAAAUUUCUCAAUAAUUCAGAGAAACCGUUGACAGACGGGGAUCAUUUUCCAGUCAGUCCAAAAGCAAGAGCAUCAAUUAACAAAGCCAUACUAACAAGGAGCACCACCCGAUAAGAAGGCAGCUCAAAGCAAAUAACUGCAAUCUCCUAGAUUAAUUGUAAUCUUCACGUAUAAAUCUGUCAUAAGAUGCAGAUUUUUUUGCAUGCAUGAUUGAGAAGUUGGAAUCAAAACCAGCAUCCCAAAAUUGGAUACAAUAUAGCGAGCAUCAGUUAUUGCGAUGUCUUCAUACCAAGGCUCAGCUUGAAGAAAAAAGGAAGUUAGAAGCAGAAACAGGAUCCCACAAAAGGAGACAACAUAGCGGGCAUCAGUUAUUGGUAUAUCUUCCUACCAAAGUUUAGCUCCAAGAAAAAAGGACUGGUACCAACAAGAAGCCAUGCCAUAGUGGCAACAAAAUAUUACUAUCUUAAAAAUGACUUUUGCUGGUAGGUGAAGCUACAUAUCACCACCUAAGAAAAGCACAAAUAUAAUGGUGACUAGGUGGCAGAAAAGCCAGAGGCACAAAAUAAUCUUACUUAAAUUAUAAACUGAACCUCAAUGCUGAUGGAAAUGACACUAGCUAAAAGACGCACAAAAUUUCAAGGCACAUCACAGGUGUUUUUGUCAGAUGAGAUUUGAGUUCAAC